UGGGAUAUUUAUUUUUACAUUAUCUAUUGGUCUCCAUACAUACGUUUUUAGGAUUAAGAUUCCACAAGGUCCAUGCAUAUUGUGCUUAACAAUAACAAAAUGAAGAUAAGAGUUUCUAUUUUUGUCAGGAAUUUCACAGCACACUAUCCUAUCAACCUCUUCAGCACAACAAAUUUUUUGCCCAGAUUUGAAAAUCAACAAUAG
RNAcentral lists this long non-coding RNA (204 nucleotides) under Olea europaea (common olive). RNAcentral's name for it is "long non-coding RNA (OEUR_LNC000081)". Lineage: Eukaryota; Viridiplantae; Streptophyta; Magnoliopsida; Lamiales; Oleaceae. The record is from RNAcentral.